CCUACGGGUCGCACCAGUGGGGAAUAUUGCACAAUGGGCGCAAGCCUGAUGCAGCCAUGCCGCGUGUAUGAAGAAGGCCCUAGGGUUGUAAAGUACUUUCGGUCGGGAGGAAGGCGUUGUUGCUAAUAUCAUCAACGAUUGACGUUACCGACAGAAGAAGCACCGGCUAACUCCGUGCCAGCAGCCGCGGUAAUACGGAGGGUGCAAGCGUUAAUCGGAAUUACUGGGCGUAAAGCGCACGCAGGCGGUUGAUUAAGUUAGAUGUGAAAUCCCCGGGCUUAACCUGGGAAUGGCAUCUAAGACUGGUCAGCUAGAGUCUUGUAGAGGGGGGUAGAAUUCCAUGUGUAGCGGUGAAAUGCGUAGAGAUGUGGAGGAAUACCGGUGGCGAAGGCGGCCCCCUGGACAAAGACUGACGCUCAGGUGCGAAAGCGUGGGGAGCAAACAGGAUUAGAUACCCCGGUAGUC
RNAcentral lists this ribosomal RNA (465 nucleotides) under uncultured bacterium. Its description in RNAcentral is "bacterial SSU rRNA". It matches the Rfam family "Bacterial small subunit ribosomal RNA", at positions 338 to 795 of the family's 1533-position model. The record is from RNAcentral.